AAGGGAGAAAGUAAUCUUGGGAGAGUGCUAAUUUUUCUAAGCCAUGGUUAGACUCCGUGGGUCCCUUG
RNAcentral lists this transfer RNA (68 nucleotides) under Echidna nebulosa (snowflake moray). Its description in RNAcentral is "tRNA-Ser". The record is from RNAcentral. Lineage: Eukaryota; Metazoa; Chordata; Actinopteri; Anguilliformes; Muraenidae.